CUCGUUCAAUUCUGACGUCAACUUUCUUAUUUUUAUUCUAAUGUAAUAGAUGAGAAAGCAGUCUCUGGAUGGGGUAAUAACAUGUUGGACCUAAACUGGUGCUCCGCCCGUCAAUGAGUGUAGUCUGAAUUCCACCAGGAAGCAGCCACGCAACUUUUGACACGACAUUUCUCUUCUCUUGAUCUGGGGUUCUUCGUCUAUAAAAUAUAGGUGGGUGUAGAUCAUUUGAUUUUCUUCUCUAAUGCUCUUGGCAUCUUGCAACCAUUAACAAGGGCUUCAGGGGUGGCCCUGGCUCAAGACGAAACUCACCUGUCCGUAGUUUAGUUGCUUAAAAUUGUUCUAUUUUUACCCAAUAGUCUUUCUAUAUGCGUAUGGCUAUGUAUUUGAUUAUUCUGGUAAGAUUUGGUAUUAAAUGGUAUUUUCUUGAAGGUUGGCCCUCUGCUUUCAUUUAGGAGACUUCUGUGGAAAUUUCAAUCCUGGAAUAAAUGAGGCAGAGCCCUCAAGAUGUCUUCAUUGUCUUCACAUAUAUAGGAGAUGGUUGUAGGGCAUUUCUUCAGUCACAACAUUAACACUGACUUGGAGGUUAUUUAUCUUGCAUAUAGAAAUACAAUGAAGUUGCUGUCUGACUGUCAUCUUUGCAACACCAGUAAUAAUUAGAUUGGGAUAGGCUGACAAAGCAAAGGCUGGGUUGAGUGGAGAGGGCUGGGCCUUCAUUUGUCAGAGCAGCUGAACAACUUGCUUUGCAGAAGGCUGCUCCUCCCUGUACACUUAGGCCUCUGAGCAGUGCCCAGCCCCAAGAGCAGAGGGGAUUUCUUUAUUUAAAGAUUGUUAAUUAUUUCUAGGCUCAGGGGAGAAACCAACUAAUGAUAGGAGUCCUAAAGCUCAGGCCUGUGCAUGGUCAAAUCUCUCUGAAGUGAGGUUGUAUUGGACCAGCAUAUUUUGUUUUGUUUUAAUGAGUUUUAAAGUUUUUCCAGUCUAAGCAUUUCUCAUCUUCAUUCAUUCAUGUUAAUCUGCCUGUUCCCUGAAGGCAUUUGAGCUGUCGUCUCUGAAACAGGGGCCCCUAUCUGCUGUGCUUUCGUUGUGUGCUAAACAUUGUACAUAUAUCUUAUUUAUUCUCAAAACAGAACUGUGAGCUAGGUAUUAGCAUGUCCUGUUUACAAAUGAGUAAACUGAGGCUCAGAAGGACGAACUUACUGAAGGCAACAUAGCUAAUAAACAGCACCGUGGAUUGGCUGAGCAUCAGGCUGGAGCCUUAACAGGUCUCGAUUUGCUUGGAAACCUGUAAGGUGGCUCCAGUGCCUUUUGAAGAGAGUGUAUCAAGAGCCACUCGCUUCCACGACUUGAAUUUAUCCUUUCAGAUGAACAACAGAGACAACCGACUUGAUGAAUCACAGACAUCACCGUCUUCGAUCCUUAAAGGACCAAGAGUGCUACCAUCCGGCCUCCCCUGCACGGAUCCCCUUGAACUCACUGUGGGUAUUUCUGGAUCCGCGCCCUCCAAGCCAGUGGCAAAUUGAGCGUGUCCAUAAUGUGUCCUUAGUGAUUACUGAAGGAACUUUUCGGCGGAGAGAACACCGGGGAGAGGGCACCUCGCAGAGUAUCCAUCUUCAAAUAGCUGAGAAUCCAAGACAGAGUCGAUGUACGUCUAUGCUUCCGAUGGGCAAAGCCAGGCAGAGUAGGCCUGGUAGACGGGCUCCAGUUUAUCAGAGCUGCCCAUCCAUCCUCCUGCCAAGAACAUGCCCCGGGCGCCAGAUGCCUCCCCUGACGCCAAGCCCUAGGAUU
Equus caballus (horse) is the source of this 1782-nucleotide long non-coding RNA. The record is from Ensembl. NCBI's taxonomy places the organism in Eukaryota, Metazoa, Chordata, Mammalia, Perissodactyla, Equidae.